This is a long non-coding RNA of Ruditapes philippinarum (Manila clam), 290 nucleotides long. RefSeq lists it as uncharacterized. The transcript is spliced from 3 exons. NCBI's taxonomy places the organism in Eukaryota, Metazoa, Mollusca, Bivalvia, Venerida, Veneridae. The record is from RefSeq and is a predicted model, not a curated record.
UUUAUACAUACGCGCAUGGUUCGAAAAAAUACUUUUCAUGAAAUAUUUUAAACGUUUUUUUUUUUCAGCAUGAACUGAAACUUCAAAUUAUAGAGCAACAGAUAAAAGAUAAAGAAAAUGAGCUUCGGCUUAUGCUAAAUCUUAGAUCUGCGGGAAAACAAAAUAAUCUUAAAGAGGACUUCUUGCUUGAUCUACAGAUAAAUGUUAUUGCUAAAAAUGGUGAAAAAAGUGCUGAAGGGAAUCAACGAGUUUAUGAAGUAAUGAGAGAAUAUAUUAAAGAUAACGAUAUG